AUUGAACGCUGGCGGCAGGCCUAACACAUGCAAGUCGAACGAGUGGCGGACGGGUGAGUAAUCUAUGGGAAUGUGCCCAGUAGGGGGGGAUAACUACUCGAAAGUGUCGCUAAUACCGCAUACUAUUCUAUGGGCCGAUAUGGGAUUAGCUUGUUUGUGGGGUAAAGGCUCAACAAGGCGACGAUCCCUAGCGGGUUUGAGAGGAUGACCAGCCAAACGGGAACUUGGAAACGGUCCAGACUCCCACGGGAGGCAGCAGUGGGGAAUAUUGCGAAAUGGGCGCAAGCCUGAUGCAGCCAAGCCGCGUUGGUGAAGAAGGCCCUCGGGUUGGAAAGCACUUUCAGCGGGGGGGCGUUACCCGCAGAAGAAGCACCGGCUAACUCCGUGCCAGCAGCCGCGGUAAUUC
This 406-nucleotide ribosomal RNA is filed under the name uncultured bacterium. Its description in RNAcentral is "partial 16S ribosomal RNA". It matches the Rfam family "Bacterial small subunit ribosomal RNA", at positions 30 to 526 of the family's 1533-position model. The record is from RNAcentral.